GACGAACGCUGGCGGCGUGCUUAACACAUGCAAGUCGAACGGAAAGGCCCCUUUGGGGGUACUCGAGUGGCGAACGGGUGAGUAACACGUGAGUAACCUGCCCUUGACUUCGGGAUAACUUCAGGAAACUGGGGCUAAUACCGGAUAGGAAUCCUUGCUGCAUGGUGGGGGUUGGAAAGCUUCGGCGGUUUUGGAUGGACUCGCGGCUUAUCAGCUUGUUGGUGGGGUAGUGGCUUACCAAGGCUUUGACGGGUAGCCGGCCUGAGAGGGCGACCGGCCACACUGGGACUGAGAUGCGGCCCAGACUCCUACGGGAGGCAGCAGUGGGGAAUAUUGCACAAUGGGCGGCAGCCUGAUGCAGCAACGCCGCGUGCGGGAUGACGGCCUUCGGGUUGUAAACCGCUUUCAGCAGGGGCGAAGCUUGUGGUGACGGUACCUGCAGAAGAAGCACCGGCUAACUACGUG
Molecule: ribosomal RNA, 465 nt
Filed under: uncultured bacterium
Lineage: Bacteria
Description: partial 16S ribosomal RNA
Rfam family: Bacterial small subunit ribosomal RNA
Source: RNAcentral